UUUUAGAAGAGAAACAUCUGCUAUUAUGGUUGAAAUUGUGCAUUCCUCUCCUCCGAAAGAUGCAAACUUUUAAAACACGCCCGCCGCUUUGGGCUGGAGCGACCCCCGCUUCCGGGCUGGGUGGGGAACGCCGGCGGCCGCGCGGUCCCCCAGCGCCGGAGCGGGAGGCUGGCGCAUCCCCACCAGGGCUCGCUGUUUUACAGAUCCAAAAAGGCUUGGGAGGACUAAAGACACUUGCUAAAGGUGGCCAUCAAGUAGGCAAGAGAGCUAGAAGCUGAGAGCUGCACUUUCCACAAGUCCUCACCGCCGUCAAAUCCCUAGACCUGGGCUUGCUCUAACAGCAAUGAAAGAAAACUUGGAAAGCUACAAAAGAUCGUCGACUCUGAACUAUUACUGGGGUGGGCAGAGAUGCCCCAGGUGACUGGACACCAUUAGGCAG
Molecule: long non-coding RNA, 439 nt
Filed under: Equus asinus (donkey)
Lineage: Eukaryota; Metazoa; Chordata; Mammalia; Perissodactyla; Equidae
Description: lncRNA (ENSEASG00005036250.1)
Source: RNAcentral